AGAGUUUGAUCCUGGCUCAGGAUGAACGCUAGCUACAGGCUUAACACAUGCAAGUCGAGGGGCAGCAUUGACCUAGCAAUAGGUUGAUGGCGACCGGCGCACGGGUGAGUAACACGUAUCCAACCUACCGGUUAUUCCGGGAUAGCCUUUCGAAAGAAAGAUUAAUACCGGAUAGUAUAACGAGAAGGCAUCUUCUUGUUAUUAAAGAAUUUCGAUAACCGAUGGGGAUGCGUUCCAUUAGUUUGUUGGCGGGGUAACGGCCCACCAAGACAUCGAUGGAUAGGGGUUCUGAGAGGAAGGUCCCCCACAUUGGAACUGAGACACGGUCCAAACUCCUACGGGAGGCAGCAGUGAGGAAUAUUGGUCAAUGGACGAGAGUCUGAACCAGCCAAGUAGCGUGAAGGAUGACUGCCCUAUGGGUUGUAAACUUCUUUUAUAUGGGAAUAAAGUGAGCCACGUGUGGCUUUUUGUAUGUACCAUACGAAUAAGGAUCGGCUAACUCCGUGCCAGCAGCCGCGGUAAUACGGAGGAUCCGAGCGUUAUCCGGAUUUAUUGGGUUUAAAGGGAGCGUAGGCGGACUAUUAAGUCAGCUGUGAAAGUUUGCGGCUCAACCGUAAAAUUGCAGUUGAUACUGGUCGUCUUGAGUGCAGUAGAGGUAGGCGGAAUUCGUGGUGUAGCGGUGAAAUGCUUAGAUAUCACGAAGAACUCCGAUUGCGAAGGCAGCUUACUGGACUGUAACUGACGCUGAUGCUCGAAAGUGUGGGUAUCGAAAACWGGAUUAGAUACCCUGGUAGUCCACACAGUAAACGAUGAAUACUCGCUGUUUGCGAUAUAC
Molecule: ribosomal RNA, 835 nt
Filed under: Bacteroides cellulosilyticus WH2
Lineage: Bacteria; Pseudomonadati; Bacteroidota; Bacteroidia; Bacteroidales; Bacteroidaceae
Description: bacterial SSU rRNA
Rfam family: Bacterial small subunit ribosomal RNA
Source: RNAcentral